Molecule: ribosomal RNA, 321 nt
Filed under: Triticum aestivum (bread wheat)
Lineage: Eukaryota; Viridiplantae; Streptophyta; Magnoliopsida; Poales; Poaceae
Description: partial small subunit ribosomal RNA
Source: RNAcentral
AUGGCACAUAGCCAGAGCUUAGAGCACGCAGGCUCGCUCGAUCGCGGGGCAAAAGGGCCACUAUCAAGAUGGAGACGUGGCGGGGGGCUCCCUAGCCAAAACGUAGAAGUAGCACAGACGGUCUUGAGCAUGCUUCAGCUUGUCAGCAUCCUUGCGCCUCGCCAACGGACUCCACUGCUGCAAGAAGAGGUUGCAUUUAUAGAUGAUGUUAGCCGGGUGCGUUGGGAAGAUACCCUCGAUCGCAAGUUUGUUCCUAGUGAGCCAAAGAGACCAAGCCAGGGCUCCGAUACAGCUCCACAGCAUGCGAUUGUUGCCUCCUGA